RNAcentral lists this transfer-messenger RNA (403 nucleotides) under bacterium. It matches the Rfam family "transfer-messenger RNA". Rfam says of the family: Bacterial tmRNA, also known as 10Sa RNA or SsrA, is named for its dual tRNA and mRNA-like properties. RNAcentral also lists the same sequence under 1 other name. The record is from RNAcentral.
GGGUCUGACUUUGGCUUUGACAGCAUGUAGAUGCAGAUAGUAAGCAAACAGAGUAAUGAUGGUUUAUACUCUUAAAUCAUAAUCAUCGAACAUAAUAAAUGGCGAAAACACUUACGCUCUCGCUGCCUGAUUGAAGCACAGUAAAUCGGCUUAAUUUCAUCUCAAGGAGUUGAAACGAGACAUCACCCGAUUGUCCUUUUUCCGAGACGUUUCGAUAUGGUGGUGCAGGAAUAUCGGAAAUAGGAUUUGAUAUGCCUCAGAUUAAAUCUGAAAUUUAGAGGAUAAGUUAUUGAUUGGUGGUCUUAAACCUGUUAAUAAUCGAAAAUUAAGUUAAGACUAAGUUUGUAGAAAGCUAAUUUGUUUCCAUGUUUGGACGAGGGUUCAAAUCCCUCCAGAUCCACAA